GCCCCCGUGGCCCAAUCGGCAGAGGCAGGCGACUUAAAAUCGUCAUCGGUGUGGGUUCGAGUCCCACCGGGGGCA
This 75-nucleotide transfer RNA is filed under the name Micrococcus cohnii. RNAcentral's name for it is "Micrococcus sp. WS4601 tRNA". It matches the Rfam family "tRNA". Rfam says of the family: Transfer RNA (tRNA) molecules are approximately 80 nucleotides in length. Their secondary structure includes four short double-helical elements and three loops (D, anti-codon, and T loops). Further hydrogen bonds mediate the characteristic L-shaped molecular structure. tRNAs have two regions of fundamental functional importance: the anti-codon, which is responsible for specific mRNA codon recognition, and the 3' end, to which the tRNAs corresponding amino acid is attached (by aminoacyl-tRNA synthetases). tRNAs cope with the degeneracy of the genetic code in two manners: having more than one tRNA (with a specific anti-codon) for a particular amino acid; and 'wobble' base-pairing, i.e. permitting non-standard base-pairing at the 3rd anti-codon position. The record is from Rfam by way of RNAcentral. Lineage: Bacteria; Bacillati; Actinomycetota; Actinomycetes; Micrococcales; Micrococcaceae.